Non-coding RNA from Camellia sinensis, 224 nucleotides. NCBI's taxonomy places the organism in Eukaryota, Viridiplantae, Streptophyta, Magnoliopsida, Ericales, Theaceae. The record is from RefSeq and is a predicted model, not a curated record.
UGCAAGAGGAGAUAGAAAGUUCUUAUAGUGCAAAACUUUGGGAGUCAAAAAAUUCACUGAGCUGGUAGUCUUUUCUGAGCUUUUAGCUUUCUAGGAUUGUGCCAUAAGAAGAUUGGCCUUUCCUCCCGUUUACUUCUACAAUGGAGGAGUUAGAGAGUUCCUUGCUACAAUAAAGCAACAUGUUUUUAUUGCGAGUUCACUUUCACUCAGUUCGUGAACUUGUG